UACAGAGGAGCCAAGCGUUGUCCGGAUUGACUGGGCGUAAAGCGCACGCAGGCGGAUGCGCGCGUGGGGUGUGAAAUCUGGCCGCUUAACGGCCAGGCGCCAUCCCAUACGGCGCGUCUGGAGGGCUGCAGAGGUCGAUGGAAUUGCCGGUGUAGUGGUGAAAUGCGUAGAGAUCGGCAGGAACACCCAGGGGGACACCAGUCGACUGGGCAGCACCUGACGCUGAGGUGCGAGAGCGUGGGGAGCGAACCGG
This 253-nucleotide ribosomal RNA is filed under the name uncultured bacterium. Its description in RNAcentral is "partial 16S ribosomal RNA". It matches the Rfam family "Bacterial small subunit ribosomal RNA", at positions 524 to 776 of the family's 1533-position model. The record is from RNAcentral.